This 1851-nucleotide unclassified non-coding RNA is filed under the name Hevea brasiliensis (rubber tree). The record is from RNAcentral. Lineage: Eukaryota; Viridiplantae; Streptophyta; Magnoliopsida; Malpighiales; Euphorbiaceae.
GCCUCACUCAUCUCCGACUCCACCGGCGCCUCGAACUCCACGCCCCAACACGCACCCAUACAAUUCGGUGCCAAUUUUCUCUAUCUAAUCUAUCUUUUCCGGUGAAUUUUAUAUUUUUUGCUUCUCUGCCUCUUUCGUGCUUUCUAUCUCCCACCAGAUUGUAAAUCCUAGGUGUAUUUCCAACUGAAUAACUUCUAAUUCUUAACUUGCGAUGGUCUUUUGUGUGUAUUAGAGAUUAGGGUUCAGUGGAUCUUGUUGAAAAUUUAGAAUUAGAAUCUGCAUGUUAACAGUUGUAGAAUCAUCGAACUAAGAUAAUCCUGUUGGUUGACUUUUUGAAUAUCAGGUGAGUAUGUUUGUUCAGGAUGAUUUUCUAUUUAUCAGAAAAGGUAAAGUUAUUUUGGUGAGAAAUGGACUCUUCUACUUUUGAAAUUUGAUAGAAGCAGAGGUUACAAUAUAUAUAAUUAUUUCUAUGUAGAUUUUAUGCAUUUUCGUCUAGCAAAUGAAACAAAUAAUGUUGCUUUUGUUUGUCCGGAGAAAGAGUAUCUGAUAUCCUCUUUCCAUUGCUAACAACUAAGUGAUUAGAGCAAUUGACAUUUUCCUGUUUCGACCCCUUACCCACAACUUACAUCUCAUCUGCACAUUAACUCAAUUUGUUGCCUUGUCGGAGUUCUGUUUGGCAAAGAGGAAAAAUGGCCAAGUCUUCUUCAGAUUCUGGCGCACACAAGCCCAUGAGCCUGGACCUUCUUCCAUCAGCACUAUUGGCCACUGUGAUGACAAAGCUGGACAUAGCUUCCAUUCGUUCCCUGGCAUGCACUUGCAAGGCCUUUCAUUCAUGUGCCUCACACAUGCUUUGCUUCAUUCCUAGUUUUCAUCUCCUUGAUGUUGCUCCACCUGCUGAAUAUAUAAGGCCGUUGCUACCUCCCAAUCCUUACCUUCGUAGCUUGAAGGUAGAUUGCAUGCGACUUGAUGAUUCAUCCCUUGAUUGUCUUCUUCAGCCGAAUUUACAAGAGCUUUGCCUUCAUAACUGCGCUGAUUUCAGUGGAAGACUUCUCUCUCAGGUCGGCCACUACUGUAAAGACCUCAGGUUUCUUUAUUUGAGCUCUUUGGCGGAGAAGAGAGGCAGAUCAAUCGAUGUAUCUGAUCUAGAGGUCUUAUUUGGCGGAUGCACUCAGCUGGAAACACUGAUCCUGAUGUUUGAUGUCUCAAUGUUUUUGCGGCACAAUUUUGCUCGUGUUUGGUCUAUAGCCCCUGCGACACUGGUAUCUCUUGAAAUGGGCUACAUUUCUUCGGUAAUGGUGACAGAAUUGCUUAGCCCGCCUGUGCUACCUUAUCAGUCAAUUGAGCAUAUUCGGCCAUCCAUAUUACCAGGAGUACAGAAGUUAUGCCUUUCAGUGGAUUAUAUUACAGACACCAUGAUCAGCACAAUAACUAACAAUAUCAACUGUUUGACACAUUUGGACCUUCGAGACUCGCCUAUUAUGGAACCAAGGUUGGCAUUUGAUCUUACCAAUGCAGGUAUACAACAAAUUAAUCUGCACGGGAGAUUGAAACAUUUGUCGUUGGUGAGAAGUCAAGAGAUUUUCCCAGCUUACUUCAAGCGAGUUAAUGAUCUCGGUAUUCUUCUUAUGGCUGAUAGAUGCUCUGACAUGGAAAGUAUUUGUCUUGGUGGGUUUUGUCAGGUUACAGACACAGGUUUUAGAACAAUUUUGCAUUCAUGUUCGAAAAUUUUCAAGCUGAGGAUCUAUCAUGGACCCCACUUGACUGAUCUUGUAUUUCAUGACAUUGCUGCAACUUCACUUACUUUGACACAUGUCAGUUUAAGGUGGUGUAAUCUAUUAACAAACCAUGGCG